This 416-nucleotide ribosomal RNA is filed under the name uncultured bacterium. Its description in RNAcentral is "bacterial SSU rRNA". It matches the Rfam family "Bacterial small subunit ribosomal RNA", at positions 16 to 446 of the family's 1533-position model. The record is from RNAcentral.
AUCCUGGACUCAGGACAAACGCUGGCGGAAUGUAUUAGGCAUGCAAGUCGCACGAACCUUCGGGUUAGUGGCGGACGGGUGAGUAACGCGUAGGAAUCUGCCUUAUAGUGGGGGACAACGUGGGGAAACCCACGCUAAUACCGCAUACGCCCUACGGGGGAAAAGCGGGGGAUCUUAGGACCUCGCGCUAUGAGAUGAGCCUGCGUUAGAUUAGCUAGUUGGUAGGGUAAAGGCCUACCAAGGCGACGAUCUAUAGCUGGUCUGAGAGGACGAUCAGCCACACUGGGACUGAGACACGGCCCAGACUCCUACGGGAGGCAGCAGUGGGGAAUAUUGGACAAUGGGCGCAAGCCUGAUCCAGCAAUACCGCGUGUGUGAAGAAGGCCCUAGGGUUGUAAAGCACUUUCAAUGGGGAG